Molecule: ribosomal RNA, 1344 nt
Filed under: uncultured bacterium
Lineage: Bacteria
Description: 16S ribosomal RNA
Rfam family: Bacterial small subunit ribosomal RNA
Source: RNAcentral
GACGAACGCUGGCGGCGUGCUUAACACAUGCAAGUCGAACGGAAAGGCCCUGCUUUUGUGGGGUGCUCGAGUGGCGAACGGGUGAGUAACACGUGAGUAACCUGCCCUUGACUUUGGGAUAACUUCAGGAAACUGGGGCUAAUACCGGAUAGGAGCUCCUGCUGCAUGGUGGGGGUUGGAAAGUUUCGGCGGUUGGGGAUGGACUCGCGGCUUAUCAGCUUGUUGGUGGGGUAGUGGCUUACCAAGGCUUUGACGGGUAGCCGGCCUGAGAGGGUGACCGGCCACAUUGGGACUGAGAUACGGCCCAGACUCCUACGGGAGGCAGCAGUGGGGAAUAUUGCACAAUGGGCGGAAGCCUGAUGCAGCAACGCCGCGUGCGGGAUGACGGCCUUCGGGUUGUAAACCGCUUUCGCCUGUGACGAAGCGUGAGUGACGGUAAUGGGUAAAGAAGCACCGGCUAACUACGUGCCAGCAGCCGCGGUGAUACGUAGGGUGCGAGCGUUGUCCGGAUUUAUUGGGCGUAAAGGGCUCGUAGGUGGUUGAUCGCGUCGGAAGUGUAAUCUUGGGGCUUAACCCCUGAGCGUGCUUUCGAUACGGGUUGACUUGAGGAAGGUAGGGGAGAAUGGAAUUCCUGGUGGAGCGGUGGAAUGCGCAGAUAUCAGGAGGAACACCAGUGGCGAAGGCGGUUCUCUGGGCCUUUCCUGACGCUGAGGAGCGAAAGCGUGGGGAGUGAACAGGCUUAGAUACCCUGGUAGUCCACGCUGUAAACGGUGGGUACUAGGUGUGGGGUCCAUUCCACGGGUUCCGUGCCGUAGCUAACGCUUUAAGUACCCCGCCUGGGGAGUACGGCCGCAAGGCUAAAACUCAAAGGAAUUGACGGGGCCCCGCACAAGCGGCGGAGCAUGCGGAUUAAUUCGAUGCAACGCGUAGAACCUUACCUGGGUUUGACAUGGAUCGGGAGUGCUCAGAGAUGGGUGUGCCUCUUUUGGGGUCGGUUCACAGGUGGUGCAUGGCUGUCGUCAGCUCGUGUCGUGAGAUGUUGGGUUAAGUCCCGCAACGAGCGCAACCCCUGUUCACUGUUGCCAGCACGUUAUGGUGGGGACUCAGUGGAGACCGCCGGGGUCAACUCGGAGGAAGGUGGGGAUGACGUCAAGUCAUCAUGCCCCUUAUGUCCAGGGCUUCACGCAUGCUACAAUGGCUGGUACAGAGAGUGGCGAGCCUGUGAGGGUGAGCGAAUCUCGGAAAGCCGGUCUCAGUUCGGAUUGGGGUCUGCAACUCGACCUCAUGAAGUCGGAGUCGCUAGUAAUCGCAGAUCAGCAACGCUGCGGUGAAUACGUUCCCGGG